Molecule: ribosomal RNA, 433 nt
Filed under: uncultured bacterium
Lineage: Bacteria
Description: partial 16S ribosomal RNA
Rfam family: Bacterial small subunit ribosomal RNA
Source: RNAcentral
AACGAACGCUGGCGGCAUGCCUAACACAUGCAAGUCGAACGAGAACUUCGGGUCUAGUGGCGCACGGGUGCGUAACGCGUGGGAACCUGCCCUUAGGUUCGGAAUAACUCCCCGAAAGGGGUGCUAAUACCGGAUAAUGUCUUCGGACCAAAGAUUUUUCGCCUUUGGAUGGGCCCGCGUUGGAUUAGCUAGUUGGUAGGGUAAAAGCCUACCAAGGCGACGAUCCAUAGCUGGUCUGAGAGGAUGAUCAGCCACACUGGGACUGAGACACGGCCCAGACUCCUACGGGAGGCAGCAGUGGGGAAUAUUGGACAAGGGGCGAAAGCCUGAUCCAGCAAUGCCGCGUGAGUGAUGAAGGCCUUAGGGUUGUAAAGCUCUUUUACCCGGGAUGAUAAUGACAGUACCGGGAGAAUAAGCACCGGCUAACUCCGUG